This is a long non-coding RNA of Lutzomyia longipalpis, 1160 nucleotides long. RefSeq lists it as uncharacterized. The transcript is spliced from 2 exons. NCBI's taxonomy places the organism in Eukaryota, Metazoa, Arthropoda, Insecta, Diptera, Psychodidae. The record is from RefSeq and is a predicted model, not a curated record.
GGCUCCCCACAACAUGUUGACGCGGUUACAAGAUGCCCACGCAAACUUACUAGCUUGUGACUAUUUGGUGUUGAUGAGUUGAUCAGGGGGUGUGAUGUGUUGAAAGGAUCUCAGCCAAUGUGCCCCAGCUUCAGCACGCGGGUUAAAAAGCCAUAAUGUUGAUGCGAAAUGUGUUUUUUUUUGUUGUUGUCUUAAUCUUGAACCCUCUUUUGUAGAUGAUGGAAAAGACCCAAGAAAAAAAAUAUUGUGCCGGAGAUACAACCAGAAGGAAACAUGAUUGACAGAAUGCAAAAAAGUUCCAUUAAAAAAGUCACAUAUUUCUCAAUGUACGUUGAUUGAACAAGUACUUCUAAUUUGGCUGGAUUGUGGUGAUCUGGUAAGUUUGGUAAAUCCCAGAAUGAAAAACAUUUUAAAAAACAAAAUCCAAAAAUAAAAAAAGCGUUUCUAGGCAAUUGAGGUUUGAAGCCCAGACAAAUAGUGAGCCGGAAGUGAAAAGGAUUCAUCAAUGAUUGCCCAACAAUCGUUGAUUUCUUUAAUUAUUUCUUAAUUUGUGUUUCAUAAAACACGAAUUAAUUUUUAUAAAUCAAAAGGAAUUUUUAAAAGAAACAUUUAGAAUUAUUGACUUGAUCAAUUUUCUUUUUUAAAAAAAAUAAAGUUUUUAAUGUUUUAAUUUGUAUUUCUUAUUUGGUCUGUCAAUUCUAAGUGAUUCUCUUAACUAUUUUUCCUGUCCACCGUAAUAUUUCUGAGUGCAAAGAAAAAGAUUUUAUUUUAAAAUUACAAUUUUUAAUCAUUAAAGUAAAAAAGAAAAGAAAAAUGGUUAUGGUAACAGGUUUAACCUAGCAAAAUACGUAAUAAAAAAAAUAAUAGUUUAGGUUAUUUUUAUUCAUUUUCUAAAAGAAUUUUAAAUGUUUUUUUUUUUAUCUUCACAAAUAACUUUUCUAUAUAUAAUUUUUUUUUAUUAAAACUAUAUAACAAACAACAUAAAAGGAGAAUAUUUAUUAAUUUGCCACAUUUUUUAUUUUAUUCAUGCUGUGUUGUCAUUUGGCGCGAAAAAACUCGACUCUGACACGACGUUGCUGGCUGUGUAAACCUCAAAAUGCUCUACAUCCAAAAUGUCUCUCUAUCUGUCUCUAAAAAAAAAUUCAAAAAAAAAAAACAAA